CUAAGUUUGAUGGCGACCGGCGCACGGGUGAGUAACACGUAUCCAACCUGCCGAUGACUCGGGGAUAGCCUUUCGAAAGAAAGAUUAAUACCCGAUGGCAUAGUUCUUCCGCAUGGUAGAACUAUUAAAGAAUUUCGGUCAUCGAUGGGGAUGCGUUCCAUUAGGUUGUUGGCGGGGUAACGGCCCACCAAGCCUUCGAUGGAUAGGGGUUCUGAGAGGAAGGUCCCCCGCAUUGGAACUGAGACACGGUCCAAACUCCUACGGGAGGCAGCAUG
Molecule: ribosomal RNA, 275 nt
Filed under: uncultured bacterium
Lineage: Bacteria
Description: partial 16S ribosomal RNA
Rfam family: Bacterial small subunit ribosomal RNA
Source: RNAcentral